This 433-nucleotide ribosomal RNA is filed under the name uncultured bacterium. Its description in RNAcentral is "partial 16S ribosomal RNA". It matches the Rfam family "Bacterial small subunit ribosomal RNA", at positions 29 to 507 of the family's 1533-position model. The record is from RNAcentral.
AACGAACGCUGGCGGCAUGCCUAACACAUGCAAGUCGAACGAGACCUUCGGGUAUAGUGGCGCACGGGUGCGUAACGCGUGGGAACCUGCCCUUAGGUUCGGAAUAACUCCCCGAAAGGGGUGCUAAUACCGGAUAAUGUCUUCGAACCAAAGAUUUAUCGCCUUUGGAUGGGCCCGCGUUGGAUUAGCUAGUUGGUAGGGUAAAAGCCUACCAAGGCGACGAUCCAUAGCUGGUCUGAGAGGAUGAUCAGCCACACUGGGACUGAGACACGGCCCAGACUCCUCCGGGAGGCAGCAGUGGGGAAUAUUGGACAAUGGGCGAAAGCCUGAUCCAGCAAUGCCGCGUGAGUGAUGAAGGCCUUAGGGUUGUAAAGCUCUUUUACCCGGGAUGAUAAUGACAUUACCGGGAGAAUAAGCACCGGCUAACUCCGUG